UGUCCCACCCGGCCACAG
Molecule: unclassified non-coding RNA, 18 nt
Filed under: Mus musculus (house mouse)
Lineage: Eukaryota; Metazoa; Chordata; Mammalia; Rodentia; Muridae
Description: oocyte_clustered_small_RNA4555
Source: RNAcentral